This 438-nucleotide unclassified non-coding RNA is filed under the name Bombus terrestris (buff-tailed bumblebee). RNAcentral describes it as "misc RNA ENSBTSG00005023294.1". The record is from RNAcentral. Lineage: Eukaryota; Metazoa; Arthropoda; Insecta; Hymenoptera; Apidae.
AUUUAUCUGUCGUGGUAGUAUCAAUAAAAAAACGUCAAUCCCUCCUUUUAAAGGGAAUAAGACGACCGUAAUGCAAGCAAUAAGUUACCGACAGAACGAUAAACAAUGGUCGGGAAGCACGUUAGUUUGCAUUGCAUAUUGACCUACCGCAAUCUCGUGCUGACCGUGCACCAGCGUACCGGCAACGUUAUCGAGGAGUUAGCACGUACCUCAUAUUGGAUUACUAGGAAUCCUCUUAUGAUACGCACGCAGUCUUCAAGGCCGCCCGGCGACCUUUGGCAUUACGACAAAUCGAAAGGAAUUGAUUUUCAUCCCUGAAGCCUCCUAAAGACAAACGCGAUAAUCAAGAAAACGGUGGAAGUUGAGUGAUCGAUUCAGAUAUCUGUUACGCCUGUCGAGUAAAUAAUUAGAAAUUUCGGGAAUGGAAAGCAGUAUCAA